GCUGUCGUCCAAUUCGUUUCUCGCUGUUUACGCUUUUCUCCGCCUCGGACGGAGGAUCCGCCAUCACGAAUGUCUGGUAAGUAAUAUGAAUUCCGUUGUAUCUUUGCCCGGCACCCCGUAUAGUAGGAGUGUUAGUUACUAAAUCUCUGUUGUUAAGUUUCUUUACAGAACACACGAAUAACUCUGUAUAUUAAUUACUUUUCUUGUUUCAUUUUCCUCUUGGUUAAAUAUUGUGUUGCGCAAAUCCUCACUCCCCCCCCCCCCCCCCGGGUGUCUAGAUUAUAUCCGUGCAAAUUAAGUUAGGAUACCUACAUGUUUUUUUUUUUCAGUUUUACUCUCUUUUUCUUGCUGCGACUACCCGACGUAUCUCUUAGUUUUAGAUUUAAUGCUUUUAUGUUCGAACCAGGAAUCCCCUUGCCAAACGCGUUCCAUUCGUUGGUCACUUGUAUCCCACCUUUGGUGGAUGCACCUCGCCAUGUUGAUUUAUAGAUACGCCGCAUAGCUGGAAUCAAACAUGGAGUAGAGCGAUAUGGCAUCCCAUCUUCCAAUCGGUAAUUGGUACGUUCGGCGGAGUAAUCCAUGCAAGAGAUUCCAAAAAAGGUUACAUCAAUCGUCAAGCUACGUGGCGUCCAUGCUAACAUAAUCUCGUACAUAUAAGUAUAUAUAUAUGAAUAUACAUUAUACAAACAUAUAUCUAUAGGGGGAACUAUUGAGCUUAAUAUAAAAGGCUGCAUCAUGUCCACUUUUUCUCUAGUGUAUAGUUUGUUUUUGCUCUUUGUUUUCAGAACAUCAACC
This is a non-coding RNA of Cinara cedri, 795 nucleotides long. NCBI's taxonomy places the organism in Eukaryota, Metazoa, Arthropoda, Insecta, Hemiptera, Aphididae. The record is from the annotation of a GenBank genome assembly.